AAGCUACAGCUUUUUCCAGUGAUCAAAUAAAGGUAUCACCUGCCCUUACUUUUGUAUCAUGUAAGGCCCACAUAGCUUUAUCUGUGUUUUCAGAGCUGAUGGAGUUGCUCUGCUACUGUCUCACGCCACUGUAGCCUAAUGGAAUGGCUCCCGCCUGGUGCAAUCGAAAAGACCAACACUGAAAACAUGAUGCUGCUUCCCAUCUUUCAAUCCACAACUUGCUAAGAGUGUGAACUAUACUUACUGGAGACAAAAUUACUUUCAGCAAGAUUCAUUCCUGUCAUCUACCAGCUGGACUGCUCAGCUCUUCAUCACAGUCUGGGCUGCAGGGAAAUGUAGGACAGUGAGAUUACUGACUGUUCAUAUGAGGAGGAAGAGAUGGAUGCAAAUGUGAACAGAUGGAUGUAGACACACAGAAAUGCAGAGGAUGUACAAGAGUCCCUGAAGCCAUGCCUACAUUUACCAAAGGCAUACAGCAAAUACUUCUGACCAAGAGGAUAAACAAAUAAAUGUUAGCUUUCGUAACAAGGAACCCAUAACUCACUUUUCUAAAAUAGCAUUACAAAUCCCACAGAGUUUCAGAUUAUUUCAUGUGUCUGACACAGCCAUCUGAAAAAUAAAUUUUAAGAAAAGAGCA
This 637-nucleotide long non-coding RNA is filed under the name Pogona vitticeps (central bearded dragon). Its description in RNAcentral is "lncRNA (ENSPVIG00000007261.1)". Lineage: Eukaryota; Metazoa; Chordata; Lepidosauria; Squamata; Agamidae. The record is from RNAcentral.